AUUUUCUUAUAUAAUCACAAGCAAACACCUUCUUACUUUUAAUAUAUGAAGUGGUUGAUACCAUCUCUUAGGAUGUUUUUCCACAGAACUUCACAAUCUGUGCCAAACGGACACUGUAGACUUGCCAGAGUUUGCCAUUCAGAUAUGGAAAAUUUUCACGUGCAUUUGUAUUACUUCCUUUUGCAUCUGUGUGCCCAUCAUCUACAGUCAAGGUAUAUUGUAAGGGUAUGUAUAAGGAGAGAGCGAUUUCUCCUUUUAUGGUAUCUGGCCACACGGCAGGUGAAUGUUAAACAAUAUCAAGAAUGGAAUAUAUCACUGUGCCACUGAUCCAUUUCAAAGUGCAUUCACCUUCAAUGAUCUUCCAUAGGAAGAGAAACCAAAAAGACUUCAAACUCAUAUGAGAUUCAGGUACCUUAAAAAUAGAAUAAAGGCCCACUUCAGAUACUCAAAUUAUCUGAUGCAUGCAUGAGGCUGGCAGAUACGGAGACAACUACGGGACACAUAUCCUCCUGGAGAGCUGACUGGCAGACGACUACCCUGACAUCUAGAGUGGUAUCAGGUGCAUAUACUCAUUCUAAAUCCCAUCCAUCAUGUCUAUAAAGCUGUGAAGCAGCAGGUAGGGAAUGAUUAUUGACACCAUCUCAAAUGAUAUGUGUACACUAGCAGGUAGCAGAUUUAAAAGCAAAUAGUAACCAAUACGCUUUCACACCUUGUGUAUAUGUGUGUACGUGUAUGUGUAGAUCAUACGUCUGCUGACCAAAAUGUCUCCAAGUACACACCAGCUGACCUCCUCUUGUCUUCACUGUAUGUUCACGCUAUAAAUGUGAGUGGCAUCAUUAAGGAGCUGUGGCAUUGCUAUUGUGGGUUAUAUAGUAAAAGACUGAAGACUACUUUUUAAGGAAAAGAAGGAAAGAAAUUUGCACUUAGAAUAUUGAUUGCACUAACUUUUGCAACUGGUGACAAUUGGAUAGAAAAAUUGAAGUGAGAACUUACAGGACUGUUGACUUUUUUAAAGUUAACAAACAAGUACUCUUUUUUUGUUACUCUUCCUGUCUACCAGAAAUAUACAUAAUCAACUUUUACCAUCUUAAAUCAGCGUAUUAAUGAGUGAAUGAAAACCAACUGCAACUGUUCAGGUAUGAACAGCAUAAUUCCCAGGGUCACUAGAUGAUUUAGAUGUGAAGUCUCAUUUUUCAUAUGCAAUUCAGGAACCUGACUGAACAAAUCAAUAGGAAGCUGACUUUUAAGUCACUCUUCUACUAUCUUUAAAAAUGGGACUUAGGAUAUUUUUGAAGCGCCUUGUGAAUUUAGAAUCCUGAAAUUGAAAAUACUGGUCCUCUAAAAAGUCUGGUACCUAACCAACACCACAUCAUUGAUAAAGAAGGAAAAAUAAUCAAAUCUAUCUGAUCUACGUUAUUAUAAAGCAUGCCCUGGAAGCCUUAAACUGAAUAGGGAUCCUGAUGAUGUCAUUCUCUGCAGUGAGUCUAAUUCUUUAUCCACUAUCCUAGAAAAUAUUUUGCUGAUGGAUGUUUUCAACAUGAAACAUGGGACAUCACUUAAAAUUUUAACCAUAUGGGAAAGUUCUUGGUCUCCAGCAGUAAAACAGGUCAGAAGAACUGCAAUAGCUUUUCAAAUCAAUCCAUUUCUAGGUAGAAUGUUUUGUACAAUGUACAUAGUUUAUGUACAUGAACUAUAUUUUUCUAACCUAUCAGAAAUUUUGGAAUCCCAUUCAGGUUAUGUUACUGUACAGAAAGUAACUAUGACACUAAAUUAUUAGUCAUCAGAUUCUAAACAAAUGAUCUAUGUCAACACCUACUUUUGACAGCUGGUUAGGUUUCAUUUUGUACAAAUUCCCCAAAAGCUUACUUAUCUUUAUUUAUGGAACCUGUUUCUUUUAGUCUAAUAAAACAAGCUUGCUCUAUCCUUCCACUAUAAAGCACGUGAAGAGCAACACUGCAAUAUUAUUGUAGUAAGUAACUGUAUAAUUGUAAAAUGUAAUAUAAUUGUGAAAGUAACUGUAGACCUGCUGCAUGUGCUUUAAAAGGAAAUCCUGUCCUUGAAUCCUGAUGACUUUUUUCUUUUUUUCUCCAGAACUUUGUAUGUGCGAGUUAUAAUCUUUCAUUCCCUUAUGAACUAUACUUAGCCAUAGAAGUCAAUGGUGUUUACAAACUCAGUUUUCUCAAACGCUUUAGGUAUGUUUGAUCUCAGCAGGUUCUGUAUUAUUAGCAAGAUAAUAGCAGACAGAAUGAAAGACAGAUGGACCUGAGUUUUCCCUGCUGUACAAUUCAGGGUGCUUUUCAUUCCAGAUAAUUGAUUUGGCUAUUUUGAAAUGUUACAAUCUUAGCCUUAUUCCAAUGUUGAAGUUGGAAAGUCGGGUGAGUGGCUGACUCACUAGAGGACCGUGCAGACAGCCAGAGAGACCUUGACAGGCUGGAGAGGUGGUCUGACAAGAAUCUAAUGAAGUUCACCAAGGAAAAGCGAAGAGUCCUGCACCUGGGGAAGGACAACGCCACACACUAGGACAUACUGGGUGCCACCCAACAGGAAGGCAGCUUUACAAAAACAAUCUGAAUGUCCUGAUGGACAGCAAGUUGAACAUGAGCCAACAACGUGUCCUUGCCACUAAGGCGGCUAACAGUAUUCUUGGUUGCAUUAGGUAAAGUAUUGCCAGCCCGUCAAGAGAGGUGAUCCUUCCCCUCUGCUCAGCAUUUGUGAGGUCACACCUGACGCACUGUGUCCAGUUCUGGGAACCCCAGUACAAGACACACCUGGACACACUGGAGAGAGUUCAAUGUAGAGCCACCAUGAUAAUCAAUUCAGUCAAAGAUUCAGAAGGCAGAUGCCAUAUUCUCAGCGGUUUGUUUACAGCCACGCAACCCAUUUCUUCAGGACGAAUAGCUGAACACUCAGCAUGAACAAGCAGCAGAGACUUUUCCCACGUAUCUCUCAGUUUCUUCUUUGGUAUUUGGCACCAUUGAAAGACAG
Long non-coding RNA from Cygnus olor (mute swan), 2985 nucleotides. RefSeq lists it as uncharacterized. The transcript is spliced from 2 exons. NCBI's taxonomy places the organism in Eukaryota, Metazoa, Chordata, Aves, Anseriformes, Anatidae. The record is from RefSeq and is a predicted model, not a curated record.